RNAcentral lists this ribosomal RNA (460 nucleotides) under uncultured bacterium. RNAcentral describes it as "partial 16S ribosomal RNA". It matches the Rfam family "Bacterial small subunit ribosomal RNA", at positions 338 to 795 of the family's 1533-position model. The record is from RNAcentral.
CCUACGGGAGGCAGCAGUGAGGAAUAUUGGUCAAUGGGCGAGAGCCUGAACCAGCCAAGUCGCGUGAAGGAUGAAGGAUCUAUGGUUUGUAAACUUCUUUUAUAUGGGAAUAAAGUGAGGAACGUGUUCCUUUUUGUAUGUACCAUAUGAAUAAGCAUAGGCUAACUCCGUGCCAGCAGCCGCGGUAAUACGGAGGAUGCGAGCGUUAUCCGGAUUUAUUUGGUUUAAAGGGUGCGUAGGUGGUUAAUUAAGACAGCGGUGAAAUUUUGUGGCUCAACCAUAAAAUUGCCGUUGAAACUGGGAGGCGUGAGUAUGUUUGAGGCAGGCGGAAUGCGUGGUGUAGCGGUGAAAUGCUUAGAUAUCACGCAGAACCCCGAUUGCGAAGGCAGCCUGCCAAGCCAUGACUGACGCUGAUGCACGAAAGCGUGGGGAUCAAACAGGAUUAGAUACCCCGGUAGUC